GAUGAACGCUGGCGGCGUGCCUAAUACAUGCAAGUCGAGCGAACAGACGAGGAGCUUGCUCCUCUGACGUUAGCGGCGGACGGGUGAGUAACACGUGGAUAACCUACCUAUAAGACUGGGAUAACUUCGGGAAACCGGAGCUAAUACCGGAUAAUAUAUUGAACCGCAUGGUUCAAUAGUGAAAGACGGUUUUGCUGUCACUAUAGAUGGAUCCGCGCCGCAUUAGCUAGUUGGUAAGGUAACGGCUUACCAAGGCGACGAUGCGUAGCCGACCUGAGAGGGUGAUCGGCCACACUGGAACUGAGACACGGUCCAGACUCCUACGGGAGGCAGCAGUAGGGAAUCUUCCGCAAUGGGCGAAAGCUUGACGGAGCAACGCCGCGUGAGUGAUGAAGGUCUUCGGAUCGUAAAACUCUGUUAUUAGGGAAGAACAAAUGUGUAAGUAACUAUGCACGUCUUGACGGUACCUAAUCAGAAAGCCACGGCUAACUACGUG
This 496-nucleotide ribosomal RNA is filed under the name uncultured bacterium. Its description in RNAcentral is "partial 16S ribosomal RNA". It matches the Rfam family "Bacterial small subunit ribosomal RNA", at positions 28 to 507 of the family's 1533-position model. The record is from RNAcentral.